CUAGAUUCUCACAGAUGUAGACUUAAAUCAUUUCUACGGUUGUUUAGUCCAUGGAGGCUCUGAGUCCAGGAAGUGACGGCGUCAUUUCUAGGUUCAAUCAAGCAAAGAAAGGCACACGGUUAUGACCACAACUAUGUCAUUGCAGAGUAAGGAUUUUUAUAGUGCAUCUAAAUAUGAAGAGGCAUCUCUGUGCAAACGCUUUGAUAAAGUAGCUGUUGUUCUACAGUGAUGCAUGGAUCGGUGUCUGGAGACCUCACCAGGAAAACAGCUAAAAAUCUACAGUCGGUUGGAGUGUGCCAGCAGCUGGAAUGGCAUUAAGCCACUUCUGUUACCUUGGAUGACUGGGCUUCAUUCACUGGAUCCGAUGACAGAAACGGCACAGAAGAGAUAAAGUCAUCUGCCUUCUCUUCCAGGCUGAGGACAGACAAUAAACUGAAUGAGCACUCUCAUGAACAAAUGCGCUUCCAGUCUUUUUUCUUGACUGAAUCUUCAAGCUGCUAUAUAUGUUAAAACAAUGGUGGCUGUAGCUGUGGAUGAAAAUGUUCUCAUACCUCUUUCCUGACCGAAACAAAAAAAGUAUUCAGAUCUUUUCAAUAGUGAUGGAGCAUAUCUGAAAAGAGCUCUGGACACAAGCCUUUUGAUUUUAAGCACUGGAAAUGAGGAAAGGACAUUGAAAAAAAACGUCUCAAGCUAUUCAUUAGUGUUCAUUCAAAGGAAAUCACACAGGAAAUCACAUUGUUCACCCUUGAAUGAAACCUUCUGAACACCUCUUAUGACGUGUUUGAGGAAAUGACUUGGGGUCACUUUGUGAUUACUGUUAAAUUAUGGGUUUGAGUGUGUGUACACACUCUGGACGGCUUCCCACCAGAACAGAGCAGCCUUCCAGAGAGUCCUGACAAAAUGCGUACCAUUGUAAAGGUACUAAUUAUUUAAACAUUUGGCAGAUGAUUUUGCCAGUGUGUGUUUUCCCUGUGAAUAAAACCCAUCAUUUUGGUGUCUGAAAAUUGAGUAUCUGAUGUAGGCAUCAUAGUGAAUUAUAAUUUAAUCUUUGGUUCCUUUCCAUAUUACCUCAUUUUCAUACUGUAUAUAAUUUCAACCAUCAGUCACAUGAUGUUUAUUUGA
Molecule: long non-coding RNA, 1122 nt
Organism: Carassius carassius (crucian carp)
Lineage: Eukaryota; Metazoa; Chordata; Actinopteri; Cypriniformes; Cyprinidae
Exons: 3
Source: RefSeq, a predicted model, not a curated record